Pelobates cultripes (western spadefoot toad) is the source of this 422-nucleotide non-coding RNA. The record is from the annotation of a GenBank genome assembly. NCBI's taxonomy places the organism in Eukaryota, Metazoa, Chordata, Amphibia, Anura, Pelobatidae.
GUCCCCUUCAGAUGUAGGUCCAUAGGAAAUGGUACGGUUAGGGCAGAGCUACUGGCGUCAUGCUAUACAAUCCAUUGAUUGGUGGACAGGAAAACGUCAAGGCUCACGACAAAUGACACACUAGGCAUUUGGUUUAAACCCUGCAUGCCCCCUGGCGGUCUGACUUGCAGUGGAAACACUCACCUGAAUAGGCUGGACCAUUCUAACCCUUCCGAACCGUACCGAUCCGAACCAUACCGCUCAGUGGAAAUGAGGCAAAAGUAACAUGUUAGGAAGGCGAAUACAAAAACAUACCAAAAGAGGAGCAAUAAUGCGAUGAAUGGGAGAAAGACUUGGGAAGGGGAAAUGACAUAGAGAAGAACAGUAACAAGUGAUGGAGGAAGUAAAAAAGGUGAAAUGUUUAGGGAGGGGGAAAAAGAUUU